ACAAUCACCCACGAAAAACCCCCAUACACAAACACACCACAAAAUAAACCCAUGUCACACCCUGGCCUGACCAAAUAAAUAAAGAAAACACAAAAUACUAAGACCAGGGCGUGACAAAUACACAUAUCUUCUAUGUACAUUUAAUUUUUUUGUAAAAAAAAAACAUUCUGGCAUAGUUGAAUAUUGUAUAGUAAAAUUGUUUAAAUAAUUUUUACAUGUUUAAAAGGUCUGUACUAAAGAUUUAGUAUUAAAUAAAGGGUUUAAAAUUGUAUCUUACCUUUAAUGAAUGGAAUCUCUAUGUGUCUCUCUCUGUAUAUGUCUGUCUCCAAGAAAUGUUUUUCUCAACAUAAGAGAAAGGAUUCCGGGAAAGAUGUGUGUGUGUGUGUGUGUGUGUGUGUGUGUGUGUGUGUGUGUGUGUGUGUGUGUGUGGAAGUGUGUGUGUGUGUGUGGAAGGUCUUUGAAACCAAUGUUUUUUUCUCAUCAAUUCAACAGGUGCCCUUACACAGUAGGGGGGCUAUAUGUACAUAAGGAUACCCAAACAACAGUUGUUUUUUCCCCUGAGGAUGUCCUGACAUCUGUCUAUUGCCCACGUGAUGGGUGUGUGUGUGAGUGUGUGGGGGGGGACGGACGGACGGACGGACCUCUCACCUUCCAAAAGACUUCUUAGCAUUUCCCGGGGUGGGGUCAUUUAUAACUUGUCAAAAUUAUUUUUAUGACCAAAUUCACAUUCUUUAGUGUUGACAUACAUCUUUGUAUGAUUUCAUGACUGUUUGUAAUAGAUCCCUGAAUGGUCAAAACCUCUUCAAAUAGAAGUAUGUUUGUAGCACAAAAUAUCUUACAUGUAGGCCCUCUUUCACUCUCUCAUCAUGUCACAAGCGAACAGGCUCCCAAAGGCAGGGCCAUAAAAGGCCCCUGCCCCUCCCCUCUCCAACAGCCAUCAGCCCAGAACAGCAUGAAGACAGAACAGCUAAAAGAUCAUCUGGGAAUCCUUCCAUCCUCAUGAAGUUUUUGAAGACAAAAGACAUUGACUCCUGUGUGUUGAACCUUUUCCCACUCUACAGCCACCCUGGUUAUUAUAUGACCCUGAGGGUCAUCUACGAACAUUGGAACAUAUUGAAUAACAAUAAGUGGCACAUGUACUCUUAAAUGUCCACACAGCACAGCCCUCGGAGCAUGGUUCCUC
This is a long non-coding RNA of Oncorhynchus tshawytscha (Chinook salmon), 1183 nucleotides long. NCBI's taxonomy places the organism in Eukaryota, Metazoa, Chordata, Actinopteri, Salmoniformes, Salmonidae. The record is from Ensembl.